AUGUCAGUCAUUUACUCGCAUGCAGGUCGUCAACAUCCUGAACUCGACUUGAAGUUGCAGUUAAACCUUCAUUUUGUCACAGCAGUGUCUCAUUUCUUCUCUUUAGAUGAUGAACGUAACACAAACCAGCGGAGUCGAGUGGCGCGCAUCGCCUUCGUCAGAUUUGCCUUCGUGCUCCUGCUCCUCCUCAUGAAGAAGGAGGUCACCAUCUGCGAGGCGGUGCAGCCAAGUCACACUCUGAAUCUAUUAAUCAGAGCUGCGUUGGAACAGACAACUGCGAGACGCCAUAAUGACUAG
Molecule: long non-coding RNA, 297 nt
Filed under: Betta splendens (Siamese fighting fish)
Lineage: Eukaryota; Metazoa; Chordata; Actinopteri; Anabantiformes; Osphronemidae
Description: lncRNA (ENSBSLG00000008181.1)
Source: RNAcentral